Molecule: non-coding RNA, 207 nt
Organism: Nicotiana tabacum (common tobacco)
Lineage: Eukaryota; Viridiplantae; Streptophyta; Magnoliopsida; Solanales; Solanaceae
Source: RefSeq, a predicted model, not a curated record
UUGGGGCUUCACUUGCUGCCUUACCUUGACCGGCCAUGGAUCCUCCAUUGAAUAUGAAGUCCUUUAAUCCAAAUAAGCAUCUCAAGGAAGAGUUUGUAAGCAAUUUAUCAGGAACUUCAAUGCUGGAACUAUUUCUUCUCAUCACUACACUCUCUAUGAUUCUCUUUCUACGUUCAGUAUACUCCAGCACCAAAAAAGGUGAGAAAU